Molecule: ribosomal RNA, 635 nt
Filed under: uncultured bacterium
Lineage: Bacteria
Description: bacterial SSU rRNA
Rfam family: Bacterial small subunit ribosomal RNA
Source: RNAcentral
UAAAGAAUUUCGGUCAUCGAUGGGGAUGCGUUCCAUUAGCUUGUUGGCAGGGUAACGGCCCACCAAGGCAUCGAUGGAUAGGGGUUCUGAGAGGAAGGUCCCCCACAUUGGAACUGAGACACGGUCCAAACUCCUACGGGAGGCAGCAGUGAGGAAUAUUGGUCAAUGGGCGCUAGCCUGAACCAGCCAAGUAGCGUGAAGGAUGACUGCCCUAUGGGUUGUAAACUUCUUUUAUAUGGGAAUAAAGUGCAGUAUGUAUACUGCUUUGCAUGUACCUUAUGAAUAAGGAUCGGCUAACUCCGUGCCAGCAGCCGCGGUAAUACGGAGGAUCCGAGCGUUAUCCGGAUUUAUUGGGUUUAAAGGGAGCGUAGGCGGGUUGUUAAGUCAGUUGUGAAAGUUUGCGGCUCAACCGUAAAAUUGCAGUUGAUACUGGCAUCCUUGAGUACAGUAGAGGUAGGCGGAAUUCGUGGUGUAGCGGUGAAAUGCUUAGAUAUCACGAAGAACUCCGAUUGCGAAGGCAGCCUGCUGGACUGUAACUGACGCUGAUGCUCGAAAGUGUGGGUAUCAAACAGGAUUAGAUACCCUGGUAGUCCACACAGUAAACGAUGAAUACUCGCUGUUUGCGAUAUAAGUAA